Molecule: ribosomal RNA, 253 nt
Filed under: uncultured bacterium
Lineage: Bacteria
Description: partial 16S ribosomal RNA
Rfam family: Bacterial small subunit ribosomal RNA
Source: RNAcentral
UACGUAGGGUGCGAGCGUUAAUCGGAAUUACUGGGCGUAAAGCGUGCGCAGGCGGUUCGUUGUGUCGGCGGUGAAAGCCCCGGGCUUAACCUGGGAAUGGCCGUUGAAACUGGCGAACUGGAGUGUGGCAGAGGGGGGUGGAAUUCCGCGUGUAGCGGUGAAAUGCGUAGAGAUGUGGAGGAACACCAAUGGCGAAGGCAGCCUUCUGGGCCAACACUGACGCUCAUGCACGAAAGCGUGGGGAGCAAACAGG